CAGCCGCCGCGGGAAUACGUAGGGUGCAAGCGUUAAUCGGAAUUACUGGGCGUAAAGCGUGCGCAGGCGGUUCGCUAAGACAGAUGUGAAAUCCCCGGGCUUAGCCUGGGAACUGCAUUUGUGACUGGCGGGCUAGAGUAUGGCAGAGGGGGGUAGAAUUCCACGUGUAGCAGUGAAAUGCGUAGAGAUGUGGAGGAAUACCGAUGGCGAAGGCAGCCCCCUGGGCCAAUACUGACGCUCAUGCACGAAAGCGUGGGGAGCAAACAGGAUUAGAUACCCGUGUAGUCCCUGUCUCUUAUAC
RNAcentral lists this ribosomal RNA (301 nucleotides) under uncultured bacterium. RNAcentral describes it as "partial 16S ribosomal RNA". It matches the Rfam family "Bacterial small subunit ribosomal RNA", at positions 509 to 807 of the family's 1533-position model. The record is from RNAcentral.